UACAAUCUCAGUUAAUGAAGCAUGGAAAAUCAAAAUCAAAGCAUCAGCAUUUACUACCUCCUAGAUGCCUGGAACUUUUCAAAGUGAAUUACAGAGCAGAUUCACACCCUUUAAAGAAUUUGUAAAUUCAGAAACGGCUGGGAGCAGGUGAGUAUUUCUGCAAAAUUUGAGAGGUGUGGAUCUAUGACCGAGGAAGCAAGGACUGUGGCAUCCCCAGAAGCUUUCCUUUUGAAUCAGGAGCUGCUUUGACCAGGACUUGCGUGGUAUAGUGUUCGCAGAAGCACGGAUGGCCACGGACCUCUAUCCUAUUAUUUACUCUUAUUACUUCCUGGUGUUGGCACUUCCGCAGAAAAUGUUGACGCGUGACAUCAAAGGCAAAGAGGAGAUCCGCAAUCCCUAGUUCCUUCCCUGCUCCUCCUAAGCUGAGGGAAGCGAGCGUGGGGAAAACGUGCAAAUAUCAAGGAGCAAAAUCAAAACAGCCAAGUUCAUUUGGGGCGGCGUACGUGAUUCAAAGCGUGGUGAACAUCCGCGGCGAGGUCUUGCCGAAUUACUUCUAUGAGAAGGCACGAUGCAGUCGCUGGGAGCUGGGGCUCUGGUGCUAGACCCCAGCGUGGCCAACUUGUAUCCUUGGGCUCGGCCGGCUUCAGGACACAGCACAGGAGCGGAAUGCUGAACCAGGGCUUAUGGCAUAUGAAUUGCAACAUUUCCAUAUUUUUCCUGCACAAACAGCCGGGACCAGAUUGUAUACACAUUUCAGGAUCAACAAGAGUGUUUGUAGACUAUUGAAAGGUGGAUUUAUAUAUAAGACUUAUUUCCCAUUGAAGACAUCAGAUUGGAGUCUUCUGAUGAAGACAUCAGAUUCGAACUGACAGCGCAGAGCCCGACACGGGGCUCGAACUCAUGGACCGCAAGAUCAUGACCUGAGCCGAAGUCGGAUGCCCAACCUACUGAGCCACUCAGGUGCCCCGACCUCCCUACCUUUUAAAGAUGAAAGAGAGGUUUAAUUACCCCUAAACCUUUCUACAAGCCCCCUCAUCCCUAUGCAAUUUACUUUUCAUGUCUUGCUGUAUCCCACUUAUUUAUUUUUUAUUUAUUUAUUUAAGUGUUUAUUUAUUUUGAGAGACAGAGAGAGUGCACGAGCAGGGAGAGGGACAGAGAGAGAGGAGAGAGAAACCCAAGCUGGCUCCACGCUAUCAGCACAGAGCCUGAUGUGGGGCUCGAUCCCACCAACUGCGAGAUCAUGACCUGAGCUGAAACCAAGAGUCAGACGCUUCACCAAAUGAGCCACCUAGGCACCCCCACCCCCCCACUUACUUAUAAAUACAAGUUCAGCCUCCAGGUAAGGAGUCCUCUUUUCCAAACAUAGAAAUUCCUGAAGAAAAGGGGAAGAAUUAGCUUCUGUGUCCCACUGACUUUGCCAUUUAGGGCCAUGUAACUCUGGGUGCAAAUUUCAAGGGAUAAUGAAAACUAUAGCUUUGGCCUCCAGAAUUGAAAUGCUUUUUGUAAUUGAAAUACUUUUGUACUGGGAAAAUGGCAAUUGUACAAAUGAAGGAUAAACAAAAUCUCCUAAGUGAAAUAUUUUCUUCACCAAAUGAAGUUUAGUCAACUACUAAUUUAAGGCAACAUUUCACAUCCUCUUGUAUAUCAGCUAGAAAAACUGAUAGCACCCAUAAUUUUCAUUUAUAAGUGCAAAAAUGCAGCCCUGUUUUCUCAAACUUAUUAAAGUUGAUAACUUUAUCACUAACACCUUCUGGAUUAAAGCUGUAACCAUCCAGGGGCACCUGGAUGGCUCAGUCGGUUGAGCGUCCGACUUCGGCUCAGGUCAUGAUCUCACAGCUCGUGAGUUCGAGACCCGCGUUGGGCUCUGUGCUGACAGCUCAGAGCCUGGAGCCUGCUUCAGAUUCUGUGUCUGCCUCUCUCUCUGCCCCUAACCCCCUCGCAUUCUGUCUCUGUCUCUCUCAAAAAUAAAUAAACAUUAAAAACAAAAACA
RNAcentral lists this long non-coding RNA (1990 nucleotides) under Felis catus (domestic cat). Its description in RNAcentral is "lncRNA (ENSFCAG00000047265.1)". Lineage: Eukaryota; Metazoa; Chordata; Mammalia; Carnivora; Felidae. The record is from RNAcentral.